RNAcentral lists this small nucleolar RNA (131 nucleotides) under Mus pahari (shrew mouse). RNAcentral describes it as "predicted gene, 25094 (MGP_PahariEiJ_G0034393.1)". It matches the Rfam family "Small nucleolar RNA SNORA17". Rfam says of the family: snoRNA ACA 17 belongs to the H/ACA family of snoRNAs and is predicted to guide pseudouridylation of the 28S rRNA at positions U4659 and U4598. It shares the same host gene together with ACA43. The record is from RNAcentral. Lineage: Eukaryota; Metazoa; Chordata; Mammalia; Rodentia; Muridae.
UCUGGUCCUAGAGGCAUUGCAGGUGUGGCUGUUGUGUCGCAUGUGCAUCAGUAGGUGGCAGAGAGGAGAGGGCUAUGACUACUCUCAGUGUUCUGCCCUGUGAGCCUCUGAAUGAUCAGUAGCCUAACACU